This 408-nucleotide ribosomal RNA is filed under the name uncultured prokaryote. Its description in RNAcentral is "bacterial SSU rRNA". It matches the Rfam family "Bacterial small subunit ribosomal RNA", at positions 355 to 774 of the family's 1533-position model. The record is from RNAcentral.
UGGGGAAUAUUGCACAAUGGGCGAAAGCCUGAUGCAGCGACGCCGCGUGCGGGAUGAAGGCCUUCGGGUUGUAAACCGCUUUCAGCAGGGACGAGGCCGCAAGGUGACGGUACCUGCAGAAGAAGCCCCGGCUAACUACGUGCCAGCAGCCGCGGUAAUACGUAGGGGGCAAGCGUUAUCCGGAUUCAUUGGGCGUAAAGAGCUCGUAGGCGGCCCGUUAGGUCAGGAGUAAAAUUCGGGGGCUCAACCCCCGCGCGCUUCUGAUACCGGCGGGCUUGAGUUUGGUAGGGGAAGGUGGAAUUCCCAGUGUAGCGGUGGAAUGCGCAGAUAUUGGGAAGAACACCGGUGGCGAAGGCGGCCUUCUGGGCCACAACUGACGCUGAGGAGCGAAAGCUAGGGGAGCGAACA